Molecule: long non-coding RNA, 1147 nt
Organism: Physeter macrocephalus (sperm whale)
Lineage: Eukaryota; Metazoa; Chordata; Mammalia; Artiodactyla; Physeteridae
Exons: 3
Source: RefSeq, a predicted model, not a curated record
GGGAGCUCUCCCUUUCCCUUCUUCUCCACCCUCCACCUCUGACACGUGGCCACCACCUCAGCUCUGUCCACUAUAACCAUUCAGAGAUUGGCUGGUGUGGGAGAAGGGCUCAAGGAGAUGGGGGCUGGAUUUGACCACUGAAGCAAGCUGUCACCCCACUAAAUGAGGGCAUGGAAGGUUGUGAGACACCCAACAGCCCAUAGUAGGAGGUCCAGAUGGCUGGCCCAGCCCAAAUCCCAGGAAUCAUUCCGAAGAUCCAGUGACCCAAAUUCUGAAUAUUGAAGAUGAUCUUCAGGGGAAAAAGGCACUGGAUCCAGAAGGCACCAAUCAAACUCAAGAGUGUACUCUGCGAAGAAACCUGCCUAAGUCACCUACUCUCAGGAAAAAUCCUCAACACAAAUGGCAACCACAUCCAAAUGCCAUGCAGGUCUGCAGCUAAGGUGCAAGCUGGAGGGGAUGGACUCUGCUUCAGAAUACGGGAGGGGGAGGAUUUCCUCAGCAGAAGCACUUAGGUAAGAGAAAUGACAAAUUAAUUAACUUGUCAAAUUCUUACUUUCACAAAGCUUGAAUGCAAUGGAUUUUAACAUAACAAGACACCAUUUCCUGGCAGCGCCAAGUAUGCAUUUACUUGCUUCUCUUCUUUCUCCAACUGGGGAUUCCGAAGGUACUCACACGCUAACGUGGCAUUCAGAACAGCUACACAUGGCUGCUAAUGUGUAUCACUCUGGUAUUUGAAUAUAUACACGGGUCUCUAUGUAACAUGAGUGAAGUAUGAUACUGAUUCUUUACAUUGACGGCUAGAUGGACAUUUAAUAAUGGGGCUGCAAAUAGUUGUUUUUAACAAAAAUAUAUGACAAGAUUUAUAUUUAAAACGUUAAAUGGAAAUCUAGCCUUUAAAUAAUGUAUAUUUAAAUUUUUUUAAAUUUUAAUAGACUUUGGAUAUUUUAAAAGAAAAUUUUUUUUGUAUAAAAUACAUAACAUAAUAUUUACCAUCUUAACCACUUUUAAGUGUACAGUAUAGUAGUGCUAGCUAUAUGUGUCUUGUUGUAUGACAAAUCUCUAGAAAUUUUUCACGCUGCAAAACCGAAUCUCUAUACCCAUUGAACAACGAUACUCCCUCUUUUCCCCCUCCCCAGCUCCUGGCAGC